Molecule: non-coding RNA, 481 nt
Organism: Paramuricea clavata
Lineage: Eukaryota; Metazoa; Cnidaria; Anthozoa; Malacalcyonacea; Plexauridae
Source: the annotation of a GenBank genome assembly
CUUGUAAAUUUAACCACAAUGAUAUGCGUGCACUUAUAUAUAUAAAACAUAGAAUCCUAGAUAAUUUAAUAUCAGAAAUAUGUUUUAAAAAGAUUAAAUUCUGUAGGAAGAUAGCUAUUAAUAGUUAAUGGUAGUUCAUAUUGGCAUGUUUAUUAAAAGUAUUAUGCAUUACACUAUUACGUAAAUCUAAUUUAAGACGGCAAAGAAUUGUGGUUAAACGCACCGCUGCCAUCAUUUUAAUUAUGGAGUAAAUUGGAUAGUAAAUAUUGGUCAUUAAUAUAAUGUUGAUUUAAGUGUUUUGUGUAUAAAUCAAGUUUUAUAUAGUCCUGGCCAAUAUUUACUUGUGAGUUUUUAUUUCCAGUAUAAACUUGUGCUAUUCACUUCACAGUUGGUCUGUAUUUACAUUUCUACCUGCAUGUACUGUACCCAUCUUCCAAGCUAGGGAAUUUUUUUUUUUGCACUAUGCCUGGGAAGAUUUUUU